GCCGACACAGUGGCGUGUGUCUGUAGUCUCAGCUAUUAGAGAGGCUAAGGUGGGAGGAUCGCUUGAGCCCAGGAGUUCUGGGCUGUAGUGCACUAUGCCGAUCAGGUGUCCGCACUAAGUUUGGCAUCAAUAUGGUGAUCUCCCAGGAGCAGGGGAUCACCAGGCUGCCUAAGGAGGGGUGAACCGGCCCAGGUUGGAAAUGGAACAGGUCAAAACUCCCAUGCUGAUCAGUAGUUGGGUGGUGCCUGUGAAUAGCCACUGCACUCCAGCCUGGGCAACAUAGCAAGACCCUGUCUCU
Molecule: signal recognition particle RNA, 298 nt
Filed under: Saimiri boliviensis boliviensis (Bolivian squirrel monkey)
Lineage: Eukaryota; Metazoa; Chordata; Mammalia; Primates; Cebidae
Description: Metazoan signal recognition particle RNA (ENSSBOG00000012487.1)
Rfam family: Metazoan signal recognition particle RNA
About the family: The signal recognition particle (SRP) is a universally conserved ribonucleoprotein. It is involved in the co-translational targeting of proteins to membranes. The eukaryotic SRP consists of a 300-nucleotide 7S RNA and six proteins: SRPs 72, 68, 54, 19, 14, and 9.
Source: RNAcentral